UUGCAAUAAGCAUGUUUGGGUGCAGGCCAGGAAUCCAUUUGGCCUGCUUAAAAGGGAACCGUGUGCAAUUCACGGGCUGACGGGCAACUGUAAGUAACCAACGUUACAAGCCAGACACCUGCCUAAAACAUCUGCUUGUU
This 140-nucleotide non-coding RNA is filed under the name Flavihumibacter solisilvae. Lineage: Bacteria; Pseudomonadati; Bacteroidota; Chitinophagia; Chitinophagales; Chitinophagaceae. The record is from RNAcentral.